This 883-nucleotide ribosomal RNA is filed under the name Escherichia coli. RNAcentral's name for it is "partial 23S ribosomal RNA". It matches the Rfam family "Bacterial large subunit ribosomal RNA", at positions 354 to 1239 of the family's 2925-position model. The record is from RNAcentral. Lineage: Bacteria; Pseudomonadati; Pseudomonadota; Gammaproteobacteria; Enterobacterales; Enterobacteriaceae.
GCGAUACAGGGUGACAGCCCCGUACACAAAAAUGCACAUGCUGUGAGCUCGAUGAGUAGGGCGGGACACGUGGUAUCCUGUCUGAAUAUGGGGGGACCAUCCUCCAAGGCUAAAUACUCCUGACUGACCGAUAGUGAACCAGUACCGUGAGGGAAAGGCGAAAAGAACCCCGGCGAGGGGAGUGAAAAAGAACCUGAAACCGUGUACGUACAAGCAGUGGGAGCACAGAGCAAUCUGUGUGACUGCGUACCUUUUGUAUAAUGGGUCAGCGACUUAUAUUCUGUAGCAAGGUUAACCGAAUAGGGGAGCCGAAGGGAAACCGAGUCUUAACCGGGCGUUAAGUUGCAGGGUAUAGACCCGAAACCCGGUGAUCUAGCCAUGGGCAGGUUGAAGGUUGGGUAACACUAACUGGAGGACCGAACCGACUAAUGUUGAAAAAUUAGCGGAUGACUUGUGGCUGGGGGUGAAAGGCCAAUCAAACCGGGAGAUAGCUGGUUCUCCCCGAAAGCUAUUUAGGUAGCGCCUCGUGAAUUCAUCUCCGGGGGUAGAGCACUGUUUCGGCAAGGGGGUCAUCCCGACUUACCAACCCGAUGCAAACUGCGAAUACCGGAGAAUGUUAUCACGGGAGACACACGGCGGGUGCUAACGUCCGUCGUGAAGAGGGAAACAACCCAGACCGCCAGCUAAGGUCCCAAAGUCAUGGUUAAGUGGGAAACGAUGUGGGAAGGCCCAGACAGCCAGGAUGUUGGCUUAGAAGCAGCCAUCAUUUAAAGAAAGCGUAAUAGCUCACUGGUCGAGUCGGCCUGCGCGGAAGAUGUAACGGGGCUAAACCAUGCACCGAAGCUGCGGCAGCGACACUGUGUGUUGUUGGGUAGGGGAGCGU